UUUCAUGGCGGCCAUACGCGGGCAGACUUCGGUCUGGCCGAGCUUCCUUAUUCCCUCGGUUUCUCACCCCGCGUAAGGCUGCCACCCUA
Molecule: non-coding RNA, 89 nt
Filed under: Pseudomonas sp. CC120222-01a
Lineage: Bacteria; Pseudomonadati; Pseudomonadota; Gammaproteobacteria; Pseudomonadales; Pseudomonadaceae
Source: RNAcentral